UCCGUUUGCGCAGGGAUGAUAUGAGGU
RNAcentral lists this small RNA (27 nucleotides) under Bombyx mori (domestic silkworm). RNAcentral describes it as "ovarian small RNA-27657". Lineage: Eukaryota; Metazoa; Arthropoda; Insecta; Lepidoptera; Bombycidae. The record is from RNAcentral.